AACGAACGCUGGCGGCAUGCCUAACACAUGCAAGUCGAACGAGACCUUCGGGUCUAGUGGCGCACGGGUGCGUAACGCGUGGGAACCUGCCCUUAGGUUCGGAAUAACUCCCCGAAAGGGGUGCUAAUACCGGAUAAUGUCUUCGGACCAAAGAUUUAUCGCCUUUGGAUGGGCCCGCGUUGGAUUAGCUAGUUGGUAGGGUAAAAGCCUACCAAGGCGACGAUCCAUAGCUGGUCUGAGAGGAUGAUCAGCCACACUGGGACUGAGACACGGCCCAGACUCCUACGGGAGGCAGCAGUGGAGAAUAUUGGACAAUGGGCGAAAGCCUGAUCCAGCAAUGCCGCGUGAGUGAUGAAGGCCUUAGGGUUGUAAAGCUCUUUUACCCGGGAUGAUAAUGACAGUACCGGGAGAAUAAGCGCCGGCUAACUCCGUG
This 433-nucleotide ribosomal RNA is filed under the name uncultured bacterium. Its description in RNAcentral is "partial 16S ribosomal RNA". It matches the Rfam family "Bacterial small subunit ribosomal RNA", at positions 29 to 507 of the family's 1533-position model. The record is from RNAcentral.